CUUCUCUCUCUCUCUCCCUGAUCCAAAAACCCAACUCAAUGUUUAUGUUAUGACUGUAACUGUACCAGCCACCAGGUUUGCUAUUUUGUAAAUCUUAUAAUUGGAUCGCUUCAUAUUCAAUAUUGGGUCUCAUCCCAUACCCUUUUUUUUUUCGAACUUUUAAGAUUUGGGUUUCAUUGAUUUGCACGUUUGGUCAAACAAAAAAGGACCCAAGUGUUUAUUUCAUCGGAUUAUCAUGUGUGGGGACUCUGGAGUUGGGAAUUACUGCCACUGAGCUCAUAUUCACAGUGACCACAUAGAGAAUUUGUGUUUUGAAGCUUAGAUUUGACCAUGGAGAAACUUCCUGAUGCAAAAACUACAUCAAGCUAUGGUAGAUCAGCCUGUAAAAAUCAAGGAAGAUGAGGGAGAGAGAGAAAGAGAAGGGAGGAAGA
RNAcentral lists this long non-coding RNA (431 nucleotides) under Prunus dulcis (almond). Its description in RNAcentral is "sRNA ncRNA". The record is from RNAcentral. Lineage: Eukaryota; Viridiplantae; Streptophyta; Magnoliopsida; Rosales; Rosaceae.